This 162-nucleotide ribosomal RNA is filed under the name uncultured bacterium. Its description in RNAcentral is "partial 16S rRNA". It matches the Rfam family "Bacterial small subunit ribosomal RNA", at positions 355 to 511 of the family's 1533-position model. The record is from RNAcentral.
UAGGGAAUCUUCCACAAUGGACGCAAGUCUGAUGGAGCAACGCCGCGUGAGUGAAGAAGGUUUUCGGAUCGUAGAGCUCUGUUGUUGGUGAAGAAGGAUAGAGGCAGUAACUGGUCUUUAUUGACGGUAUCAACCAGAAAGUCACGGCUAACUACGUGUCAG